UACGUAGGAUGCAAGCGUUGUCCGGAAUUAUUGGGCGUAAAGAGCGCGCAGGCGGUAUAACAAGUCAGAUGUGAAAGAGGCCGGCUUAACCGGCAAGGGUCAUUUGAAACUGUCAGACUAGAGUGCAGCAGAGGAUAGUGGAAUUCCCGGUGUAGUGGUGAAAUGCGUAGAUAUCGGGAGGAACACCAGUGGCGAAGGCGACUAUCUGGGCUGCAACUGACGCUGAGGCGCGAAGGCUAGGGUAGCAAACAGG
RNAcentral lists this ribosomal RNA (253 nucleotides) under uncultured bacterium. Its description in RNAcentral is "partial 16S ribosomal RNA". It matches the Rfam family "Bacterial small subunit ribosomal RNA", at positions 524 to 776 of the family's 1533-position model. The record is from RNAcentral.